RNAcentral lists this ribosomal RNA (327 nucleotides) under uncultured eukaryote. RNAcentral's name for it is "partial 18S ribosomal RNA". It matches the Rfam family "Eukaryotic small subunit ribosomal RNA", at positions 1470 to 1796 of the family's 1831-position model. The record is from RNAcentral.
CCCUUAGAUGUUCUGGGCCGCACACGCGCUACACUGAAGGAGGCAGCGUGUACUCCUGGAUCGAAAGAUUUGGGUAACCCGCGAAUCUCCUUCGUGCUAGGGAUUGAGGUUUGCAAUUAUCCUUCAUGAACGAGGAAUUCCCAGUAAGUGCAAGUCAUAAGCUUGCGCUGACUACGUCCCUGCCCUUUGUACACACCGCCCGUCGCUACUACCGAUUGAAUGAUUUAGUGAGGACUUCGGACUGGGACCGAUGCGGCUUUCGGGCUGCGUCGGUAUUCUGGAAAGAUGUCCAAACUGUAUCAUUUAGAGGAAGUAAAGGUCGUANCA